This 380-nucleotide ribosomal RNA is filed under the name uncultured bacterium. RNAcentral's name for it is "bacterial SSU rRNA". It matches the Rfam family "Bacterial small subunit ribosomal RNA", at positions 28 to 409 of the family's 1533-position model. The record is from RNAcentral.
GACGAACGCUGGCGGCGUGCUUAACACAUGCAAGUCGAGCGGUAAGGCCCUUUCGGGGGUACACGAGCGGCGAACGGGUGAGUAACACGUGGGUGACCUGCCCUCAGCUCUGGGGAUAAGCCUGGGAAACUGGGUCUAAUACUGGAUAUGACUCCACGGUGCAUGUCGUGGGGUGGAAAGCCUUGUGCGGCUGAGGAUGGGCCCGCGGCCUAUCAGCUUGUUGGUGGGGUGAUGGCCUACCAAGGCGACGACGGGUAGCCGGCCUGAGAGGGCGACCGGCCACACUGGGACUGAGACACGGCCCAGACUCUACGGGAGGCAGCAGUGGGGAAUCUUGCGCAAUGGGCAAAAGCCUGACGCAGCGACGCCGCGUGAGGGAU